UAAGACAAUAUGUAUGAACAAAACAUUUGUAUUUUAUUCGCUCUAUGUUAUUCUGUUUGUGUGACUUACUAAUAAAGGUCAUUGAUUUCAAGAGAAAAAUAUAUAAGGUGGACUAGUGAAGAUGAAGCUUUGCAAUUUCUAGUAGCUUCCAACAAUGCCUUACAUGUCAAUAUAAUGUGAGUUGAGCAAGCAACUAAAUGGCGACAGGGAGGAUUCGAUGACUUUGUUUUCCUUGGUUUCAUGAUCUUUUAGAUAUAUAUACCUUUUUUUUAUGUAGCUUGAAUUUACUUAUUUCUACUUUAAACCAGCUUUUCAAUAAGAAAAGAGGAUACGUUUCAUAUGCGCAUGAAUGAUAAGGAAUAUAACUUCGUGUGAGCCUGUUGAUCUAUCUAUUAAGGAGUUGGUAUAGCCUAGAGAGGCUUGAAUAAGGAAUAUAACUUCGUGUGAGCAUGCUGAUGUAUCAGCAAAAGAGUUGGUAUAACAUUUUUUUAAUUGAAACUCCAAUUUAGAGCCAAGCAUUUGUU
Long non-coding RNA from Capsella rubella, 524 nucleotides. RefSeq lists it as uncharacterized. The transcript is spliced from 3 exons. NCBI's taxonomy places the organism in Eukaryota, Viridiplantae, Streptophyta, Magnoliopsida, Brassicales, Brassicaceae. The record is from RefSeq and is a predicted model, not a curated record.